This 460-nucleotide ribosomal RNA is filed under the name uncultured bacterium. RNAcentral's name for it is "partial 16S ribosomal RNA". It matches the Rfam family "Bacterial small subunit ribosomal RNA", at positions 338 to 795 of the family's 1533-position model. The record is from RNAcentral.
CCUACGGGAGGCUGCAGUGAGGAAUAUUGGUCAAUGGACGAGAGUCUGAACCAGCCAAGUAGCGUGAAGGAUGACUGCCCUAUGGGUUGUAAACUUCUUUUAUAAAGGAAUAAAACGAGGCACGUGUGCCUUUUUGUAUGUACUUUAUGAAUAAGGAUCGGCUAACUCCGUGCCAGCAGCCGCGGUAAUACGGAGGAUCCGAGCGUUAUCCGGAUUUAUUGGGUUUAAAGGGAGCGUAGAUGGGUUGUUAAGUCAGUUGUGAAAGUUUGCGGCUCAACCGUAAAAUUGCAAUUGAUACUGGCAGUCUUGAGUACAGUUGAUGUAGGCGGAAUUCGUGGUGUAGCGGUGAAAUGCUUAGAUAUCACGAAGAACCCCGAUUGCGAAGGCAGCUUACUAAACUGUGACUGACAUUGAUGCUCGAAAGUGUGGGUAUCAAACAGGAUUAGAUACCCGUGUAGUC